GAGUUUGAUUAUGGCUCAGGAUGAACGCUGGCGGUAUGCCUAACACAUGCAAGUCGAACGGGCUCUUCGGAGCUAGUGGCGGACGGGUGAGUAACACGUGAGAAUCUGCCUUCAGGACGGGGACAACAGUGGGAAACCACUGCUAAUACCGGAUAAGCCGAAAGGUGAAAAAUUUAUUGCCAGAAGAGGAGCUCGCGUCUGAUUAGCUAGAUGGGGAGGUAAAAGCUCACCAUGGCGACGAUCAGUAGCUGGUCUGAGAGGAUGAGCAGCCACACUGGGACUGAGACACGGCCCAGACUCCUACGGGAGGCAGCAGUGGGGAAUUUUCCGCAAUGGGCGCAAGCCUGACGGAGCAAUACCGCGUGAGGGAGGAAGGCUUUUGGGUCGUAAACCUCAAAAAUUAGGGAAGAAGAAAGUGACGGUACCUAAUCUAAGCAUCGGCUAACUCCGUGCCAGCAGCCGCGGUAAUACGGAGGAUGCAAGCGUUAUCCGGAAUCAUUGGGCGUAAAGAGUCCGUAGCGGCUAGUCAAGUCUGCUGUCAAAGACCGAAGCUUAACUUCGGACUGGCGGUGGAAACUGAAAAGCUAGAGUACAGAAAGGGUAGAGGGAAUUCCCAGUGUAGCGGUGAAAUGCGUAGAGAUUGGGAAGAACACCAGUGGCGAAUGCGCUCUACUGGGCUUGUACUGACGCUGAGGGACGAAAGCUAGGGUAGCGAAAGGGAUUAGAUACCCCCUGUAGUCUUAGCAGUAAACGAUGGAAUACUAGGCGUAGCCUCGUAAUCGAACCCCGGAGGCU
RNAcentral lists this ribosomal RNA (795 nucleotides) under uncultured cyanobacterium. RNAcentral's name for it is "bacterial SSU rRNA". It matches the Rfam family "Bacterial small subunit ribosomal RNA", at positions 9 to 854 of the family's 1533-position model. Lineage: Bacteria; Bacillati; Cyanobacteriota. The record is from RNAcentral.